GACGAACCGAGCGAACGUUGUUCGGAAUCACUGGGCUUAAAGGGCGCGUAGGCGGGCUGCCGCGUCCGGGGUGAAAUCCCACGGCUCAACCGUGGAACUGCCCCGGAUACGGGCGGCCUCGAGGGGGGUAGGGGCAUCUGGAACUGUGAGUGGAGCGGUGAAAUGCGUUGAUAUUCACAGGAACUCCGGUGGCGAAGGCGAGGUGCUGGACCCCUCCUGACGCUGAGGCGCGAAAGCCAGGGGAGCAAACGGGAUUAGAAACCCCCGUAGUCC
Molecule: ribosomal RNA, 273 nt
Filed under: uncultured bacterium
Lineage: Bacteria
Description: partial 16S ribosomal RNA
Rfam family: Bacterial small subunit ribosomal RNA
Source: RNAcentral